RNAcentral lists this long non-coding RNA (685 nucleotides) under Olea europaea subsp. europaea. The record is from RNAcentral. Lineage: Eukaryota; Viridiplantae; Streptophyta; Magnoliopsida; Lamiales; Oleaceae.
AACGUUUCCUCAAUUUCAGAUUUUCAGUGGAUGGCACUCCCAUCAGAGAAUUCGAGAACUCUGAGUCCAUUGGAGUUCCAUACCCGAAUAGGCAAGCAAUGAGGAUAUAUUCUAGCCUGUGGAACGCGGACGACUGCGGAACUAGAGGCGGGCUUGUGAAAACAGACUAGAGUUAGGCUCCAUUACUGCCUCCUACAGGAAUUUCAAUGCAAAUUCCUGUAUUUGGUCGUCAUGGUCGUCGUCUUGCAGUUCCAACUCUCCACCUCCAACAUCCAACCCUGAAUGGCUAAAUGAAGAAUUGGAUACCACAGGCCAAGAAAGACUGAAAUAGGUGCAGAAAAAUUAUAUGAUCUACAAUUACUGCUGGGAUGCAAAACGCUUCCCACCAGAGUGUACUAUCAACAUCGCACGGUGAUAAACCCUGCAGAGGGUACAUAAAAAUUUUCAAUUCUUUUUUGUUAAUACAAAAAGUUUUUUGGCAUCAUAUAGGCACACACAUACCGUUGCCCCUACUUUUCUGUUUAAUAGAAUUCUUCGAUUUUACCUUUUUGGCACCUACUUACUGGCUAUUAACCGGUAUAGGGAUGUUCAUUUUCACUAUCCUGUAUAUCAGCAAACAUGCGAUUCCGUUUAUAUUUCUUAUAAAUUAUACAACACUAAACAUCAUUCAUGUUGCAGGCAAAAA